RNAcentral lists this ribosomal RNA (373 nucleotides) under uncultured organism. RNAcentral's name for it is "bacterial SSU rRNA". It matches the Rfam family "Bacterial small subunit ribosomal RNA", at positions 526 to 896 of the family's 1533-position model. The record is from RNAcentral.
CGUAGGGGGCAAGCGUUGUCCGGAAUCAUUUGGGCGUAAAGCGCGUGUAGGCGGCCAGAUAAGUCCGCUGUGAAAACUCGAGGCUCAACUUCGAGCUGUCGGUGGAAACUAUCUGGCUAGAGUCCGGAAGAGGAGAGUGGAAUUCCUGGUGUAGCGGUGAAAUGCGCAGAUAUCAGGAAGAACACCCGUGGCGAAGGCGGCUCUCUGGGACGGUACUGACGCAGAGACGCGAAAGCGUGGGGAGCGAACAGGAUUAGAUACCCUGGUAGUCCACGCCGUAAACGAUGGGAACUAGGUGUGGGCGGUGUCGACUCCGUCCGUGCCGAAGCUAACGCAUUAAGUUCCCCGCCUGGGGAGUACGGCCGCAAGGCUA